Molecule: small RNA, 154 nt
Filed under: Gopherus agassizii (Agassiz's desert tortoise)
Lineage: Eukaryota; Metazoa; Chordata; Testudines; Testudinidae
Description: TUC338 (ENSGAGG00000010251.1)
Source: RNAcentral
UUGACAGCAUCUGAAGACUGAAGACUUCUUUUUAUCCACAGAGUAGCUAAAAUGUGGGUAGUAGCAGUGCAAGCUACUCUGCAAGUGAAUGUGUAAAACUGACUCCUUCUUACUGAAAGAUUUGUUCUCUGAGUGUAUCAGAGCUAUUACUGCU